GACGAACGCUGGCGGCGUGCUUAACACAUGCAAGUCGAACGGUAAGGCCCUUCGGGGUACACGAGUGGCGAACGGGUGAGUAACACGUGGGUGAUCUGCCCUGCACUUCGGGAUAAGCCUGGGAAACUGGGUCUAAUACCGGAUAGGACUCCUGCCUGCAUGGGUGGGGGUGGAAAGCUUUUGCGGUGGGGGAGGGGGCCGGGGCCGAUAGGCGUGGUGGUGGGGUGAUGGCCUACCAAGGCGACGCCGGGUAGCCGGCCUGAGAGGGUGCCCGGCCACACUGGGAAUGAGAUACGGCCCAGACUCCUACGGGAGGCAGCGGUGGGGAAUAUUGCACAAUGGGCGCAAGCCUGAUGCAGCGACGCCGCGUGAGGGAUGACGGCCGUCGGGUUGUAAACCUCUUUCAGCACCGACGAAGCGCAAGUGACGGUAGGUGCAGAAGAAGGACCGGCCAACUACGUGCCAGCCGCCGCAGUAA
RNAcentral lists this ribosomal RNA (478 nucleotides) under uncultured bacterium. RNAcentral's name for it is "partial 16S ribosomal RNA". It matches the Rfam family "Bacterial small subunit ribosomal RNA", at positions 28 to 523 of the family's 1533-position model. The record is from RNAcentral.